AUAGCGUAUAUUAAAGUUGUUGCAGUUAAAAAGCUCGUAGUUGAACUUCAGGCCUGGUCGGGCGGUCCGCUUAACGGCGUGUACUGUCUGACUGGGUCUUACCUCUUGGUGAGCCGGUGUGCCCUUUAUUGGUGUGCAUCGGGGAACCAGGACUUUUACCUUGAGAAAAUUAGAGUGUUCAAAGCAGGCCUAUGUCUGAAUACAUUAGCAUGGAAUAAUAGAAUAGGACGUGCGGUUCUAUUUUGUUGGUUUCUAGAGUCGCCGUAAUGAUUAAUAGGGAUAGUUGGGGGCAUUGGUAUUGAGUCGCUAGAGGUGAAAUUCUUGGAUUGACUGAAGAUGAACUACUG
Molecule: ribosomal RNA, 347 nt
Filed under: uncultured eukaryote
Lineage: Eukaryota
Description: SSU rRNA
Rfam family: Eukaryotic small subunit ribosomal RNA
Source: RNAcentral